UCCGUAGGUGAACCUGCGGAGGGAUCAUUACACAAAUAUGAAGGCGGGCUGGAACCUCUCGGGGUUACAGCCUUGCUGAAUUAUUCACCCUUGUCUUUUGCGUACUUCUUGUUUCCUUGGUGGGAUCGCCCACCACUAGGACAAACAUAAACCUUUUGUAAUUGCAAUCAGCGUCAGUAACAAAUUAAUAAUUACAACUUUCAACAACGGAUCUCUUGGUUCUGGCAUCGAUGAAGAACGCAGCGAAAUGCGAUAAGUAGUGUGAAUUGCAGAAUUCAGUGAAUCAUCGAAUCUUUGAACGCACAUUGCGCCCUUUGGUAUUCCAAAGGGCAUGCCUGUUCGAGCGUCAUUUGUACCCUCAAGCUUUGCUUGGUGUUGGGCGUCUUGUCUCUAGCUUUGCUGGAGACUCGCCUUAAAGUAAUUGGCAGCCGGCCUACUGGUUUCGGAGCGCAGCACAAGUCGCACUCUCUAUCAGCAAAGGUCUAGCAUCCAUUAAGCCUUUUUUUCAACUUUUGACCUCGGAUCAGGUAGGGAUACCCGCUGAACUUAAGCAUAUCAAUAAGCGGAGGAA
RNAcentral lists this ribosomal RNA (571 nucleotides) under uncultured fungus. Its description in RNAcentral is "eukaryotic LSU rRNA". The stretch from base 196 to 349 matches the Rfam family "5.8S ribosomal RNA". Lineage: Eukaryota; Fungi. The record is from RNAcentral.